RNAcentral lists this ribosomal RNA (222 nucleotides) under Vibrio cyclitrophicus 1F175. RNAcentral's name for it is "partial 16S ribosomal RNA". It matches the Rfam family "Bacterial small subunit ribosomal RNA", at positions 922 to 1143 of the family's 1533-position model. The record is from RNAcentral. Lineage: Bacteria; Pseudomonadati; Pseudomonadota; Gammaproteobacteria; Vibrionales; Vibrionaceae.
CGCACAAGCGGUGGAGCAUGUGGUUUAAUUCGAUGCAACGCGAAGAACCUUACCUACUCUUGACAUCCAGAGAAGCCAGCGGAGACGCAGGUGUGCCUUCGGGAGCUCUGAGACAGGUGCUGCAUGGCUGUCGUCAGCUCGUGUUGUGAAAUGUUGGGUUAAGUCCCGCAACGAGCGCAACCCUUAUCCUUGUUUGCCAGCGAGUCAUGUCGGGAACUCCAG